CAGAAUAGAGCUUGAUAAGUUAAGCAGUUCAUUUACAUUGAAUAGAUACUCGUGCAAUUCGGGUUAUUCUGA
This 72-nucleotide transfer RNA is filed under the name Diaphanosoma excisum. Its description in RNAcentral is "tRNA-Val". It matches the Rfam family "tRNA". Rfam says of the family: Transfer RNA (tRNA) molecules are approximately 80 nucleotides in length. Their secondary structure includes four short double-helical elements and three loops (D, anti-codon, and T loops). The record is from RNAcentral. Lineage: Eukaryota; Metazoa; Arthropoda; Branchiopoda; Diplostraca; Sididae.